AAAGAUCCAAGGUGAGGGCUUUCCUCACCUUUACCCUUGUUCUCAUGUGGAGGUGGCGCGCGUCUAUGAGACACAGCACUCCACUCGGCGAUCCUCUGCGGUCCAGCAAAUUCUAUCACUUGUUUGGAAAACAAAUCAAGCUAACCCUGCAAAACAGAACAGACAUUACAGAGACUUGAGGAUUGAUUUCUGCAUUAUGUACGUUCAAGCAAGUCUCCCGCCUUAGCCUCCCGAGUAGCUGGGAUUAUAGGCCCAUCAAGCCUUCAGAUGAGACUGCAGCCUCAUUACAGACCUUGAAACAGAGGCAGCCAGCUGAGGCAUACCUGGAUUCCUGACCCUUAUAAACUGAGAUAAUAAAUGUUUACUGUUUUAAGACACUGAGUUUUGGGGGCAAUUUGUUACUUCAUGACAGAGAAUUCAUACAUCCAGAAAAAUAAGAAAUCAGGUUAGGAAUGUGCUCUCCCAGAAGGCAGGCAAGCUCUGGAGCCUAGAAGGGGGCAAGCAACAGGGGGAAGAACAGGACACAGCGUCCAGGGCUUGUGUCAGAGGAAGACACAGAGGCAGUGUAGACAAAUGGUUAAGGCUCUGCAUCAGCCUGCCUGGGUUUAGAUCCUCGCUUCACCUCUUCAAAUCAGCUACGUAACCUCCCCAAGCAUCAGCAAUCUCGCAAGUGACACAAGGCCCCUAACGGUACCCCUCUCAUAGGGAUGAUACACUGCAAGUGCCUGGAGUGGCUCCCGGCACAGUGAAGCUCCAGCAGUUACGGCUGGGGCUGGAUGUUCUGUCCCCUCAGUGGGCUGGGGAGGAAUGGCAUACACUUUUCCUUAUGCAUUAACUGCCCUAGAGGGAGAUUGGGCUUUGUGCACGAGGCAUCAGCUUACUUUUUGAGAUGGAUCAUUAGGUACCGGAGGGUUUCAUAGUGGGCAGGAGGCAGCAGCAUCAGUACUUCAUGGACAGCUUCCAGCCUCUCAUCUGCAUUGGAGAUUUCUGUGAAGUUCACACAUGACGGGUAUUAGUUCAGAGUUGUGGCAUUCACGUUUUCAAAGAAGUAACAAGAAGUUUGUGUUUGCUUUGGCCAGAAAUGAGGGAAGGAUUCUAAUAAAUUCAUGCAACCCAAGCACUGUUUCACUUAAAUUAAUCAAUUUGUUGGUGUUCUGCAUCAUUCAGGAAAGAGUCUGAGUCUGAGUACCACAUGCUAAUUGAAUGUCCUCAGUGUGGGUGGCCAGAGGCUAGACACGGUCCUUGCCCUCCAUGAAUGUGUAAACCAGCACAAUGCAUACAGUCUGGGAGCACGUGUGCAGACUGUGCUUUGCCGUCUUCUUAACACUGGCUUUGCUAGAAAUCUCACUCCUACAAACUUUAAACUGCACCACAUACAGUAGUAUUCCCAUAAAGUUGUCUAAUGAGUCUUUCCCUGGCAGGCUUCUAUAACCUAAGACGUUCACAAGGCAAGGACAUUGGCAAUGAGCCACCCAACUCAGCCUGCACUCAUGGCACUUCUCACCGUGGUGUUGGCAUGCUUAACCCCGGUGCACAGCCUAGGUUAGGAAGUGGAGACUGGACAUAGUAACAAUGGGAGGAAGAGUACAUGCUUCUGGUUUUUGGGUCUCUGAUAGGUAUUGGCAGCUACUCAAAGAAAAUGUUCCUGCUAUUCCUUCUGGAGUGGAGGAUACCCAGGUGCUACAACCUUCUUUGCCAGGACCACCAGGGCCCUGGAAGGAGGGAAUAGUCUUCCUGGGGUCAGGGCCUCAGCUCAUCUGGAAAGUGCAUCUUGCACUGAUCCCAGCCUGCUUUUGUGUCUUCCCAUCAGGCAUCUCAUUACUAUAUUUAAUAGCAUACCUAAACUUUUCAACCUUUAAAGGUUUUUUUGUUUUUAAAAAACAAGCAAAAACUUCCUCAAAGUAAGCUCGACCUCUGUGUUAUGUAUCUCAGCAUCUCAUUCUCCCUUUGGUCACUUUUGCCUCUUCCUGGGCAAAGUGUAGCCCCUUCCUCCACACCUGCCUUUCACUCUGUUCCUCUUUCCUACAGCAGUGGGUCCAAGCACAGAACACCGAAUGAGCAACCCUGGGCUGAUGGAAGGCAAAUGCUGAUGUCCCAUUCCGGGACCCAGGACCUCAGUUCUCUAAGCCUUGCUUUUCUUCUCUGUUAAAUGGGAUUAUAUUUGCCACAUGGAGUACAUGAGAGGACUAAACUUGAAGAUGCUGAUGAGAUGGUGGUGGCCAACUGCGAUCUUGCACUCAGGACAGCACUCAAGCAGGACAGAGCAACAAGCUGCAGUGCCUGGGUGCCUGCCCUGGGCGAUCAGACUAUUCCUGGACUGCUCCUGGGUACCUGGACUGUGACUACGGAGAGAAAUAGAUUUCUAUCUUGUCAAAGGCACUGUUACUCAGGAUCUCUGUGACAGCAUUGAGAUGUCCAGGCUAAGUAAUAUAGUUAGAUUUGGAGGUGGGGGUAUGGGUUUGGUCAUUCCAAGAAAAGGCAAAAACUGAGUCCAGUAGAUUGGACACUGUACUAGGUCCAUUUUUGUAUCAAUUCACUUUAAUCCUCACUAACCACCUUAUUUUAUUGACAGAGGUACAGUUGAUUCCAUUCAUAUUACAGAUGAGGAAACAUAUUUAAAUAUAGUAAGUAACUUGCCCAAGGUCACACUACAGCCAUUAAGAGACAGGGCUGGGAAUUUAAGUUCAAGUCCUUGAUCUUUUCACUCUACCACAUCAGGCAGAGACAAAUGAACAUUAAAGAACAUCUGGAGGACAAUAAGAAAUUCUCUGUGACUGGAAGACACUGAAAGAUGCUGGUAGUGGUGGCCCCACAGCUGGGAAUGUGAGUGUCAUACAAAUUUCUCCCAGCCCAUUCUCUGGUUCUGCUUGUCUGCUUUGGCCCCUAAUAGCGGGGGCUCUAAUCCCUGUGCUAUGAUUCUUUUGGUGUAAAUUCCUAAUUUGUGCCAUUCUAUCUAGCUCUUAUACUAGGCAUACUUAGUGCUGUGCUCCCUAUUAUGAAAUGUUAGACAAAGGCAGUAAUGUUGCCUGAAUGAUCAGUUUUCUCUGUUAAGGAUCGCGAUGGGAGGACCCCAGCUUCUUCAGAAAAGCCCUGAGUGCAAGUUCUGGAGAGGCAGAUAAUCUGACCCCAAACUGCGGAGGCAGGGCCACUUGCCCAACCACUCAUCCAGAGGCAGAGAAUCCUUCCUCUCCUCUUACCCAGUGUAGCCACUGGAUUAAUAUGUUCACCAGAUCCCAAAGUACUCAUUAAGCUCUGUCAGCCACAGCAGUGAAAAUACAGAAGGCAUUUCUUACACUCUGAGAUUAACUUAGAAGUCAUCGGGGAACAGGAUAGCUAUGGCUUUCCCCUCCACAGAAGAGGGAAUAAUUCCCCUCUCUCCAAAGGGUUGGGAUAAUAAGCUAUGACAUCCUGUUUAGUUUUGCUUUGGAAAAAAUUGGGUAGUUGACAAAUAUAUUUUAUACAUAUGUAUUUAUUGGUAUAUUUUUAUAUAUUAUUGGUAUAUUUAUAUAUUUUAUACAUAUAUAAAUAUUUAUACAAUAAAUAUAUAUGUAUAAAAUAUAUUAAGCCAAUUUGGACGCAAUAAUGGAUACCAAGUAUAACAGAAUAUGAUACAUGGCAACAAUGGUUCAUGCCUUAUAAAAAGGCUCUAUACGUGGCCAAAUCACCCAAGUUACAUCCAGCAAUGCAACUUCUCCUCAGUCAGACCUGGUCUGCCCUGUCCGUGAACAUUUUGAUGCUGAAUAGUGGCCAAAGAAAGCACAAAUAAAGGAAAAGUGACCCAUGUACAACAUAAAGAGCAUUUUUUGAAAUGUUUCUAUCUCCUUGUCUCCUUUAUUUUCAUUGCAUGGAUCUCUUAAAUCUUUGAAGUUUCCUCAAUAAUAUUAGGGGCACAUGUUUAAAUGGUUGGAGAUGUGCUGCUCAACAAUUUCUUAUUUAAUAGAAGCACCUUUUUUCCCUCAUAGAUCCAAUACAAGCCUCACUUCUGUCAUAACCGUUUCUCAGUUGUCCUCGAAUAGGAUUAAAGCACUUUCCGUUGUGACUCCAUGGUACGUCGAACGUGGCCAUCCACAAUGUUUUAUUUAUUUGCUCCCCCGAUUGCCCACUCUAACGUAUGAAAUUCUUCCACGUCUCAGCCUCCCAAGUUGCUGGAACUACAGGUGUGCGUGCAUGCGCGCACACACAUGCAUAGGUCAUUUUUCCAAGAGUGGCAGAGCAACUCUGUUUCCUCAGCAACAGUAAAAACAAACAAUAAAAAUGGAAUCACUAUACUACAACAGGAAUUAUUUUUCAAACCUC
Long non-coding RNA from Callithrix jacchus (white-tufted-ear marmoset), 4296 nucleotides. RefSeq lists it as uncharacterized. NCBI's taxonomy places the organism in Eukaryota, Metazoa, Chordata, Mammalia, Primates, Cebidae. The record is from RefSeq and is a predicted model, not a curated record.